CUCUUUCAUUCAGUAAUUGUUCCCGUAUUGGUCUCUCUUUGAGCCUUCAAUGCUGCAUCCCUAAUAACUCUGUUAUUACUGUUUGCUAUGUUCUGCAGUUACCUUCAAAAUGGGUCAUAUGAAUGUUCAUCAACAUCGAGGAUCUCGUAAAACUCGGCGAUUUCAUGGCUGACCACUUUCUCGGUUCUAAUGGAGGUUGGGACAGCUUCCAUGCAUAUUUGUUUUAUUUCGGUGGCUCUCUAUGCAGUGCUGUUGAUCUAUGUCAGGUUUGUGUAUUGCAUGGAUUGCAUCUACAACAAUAUUUAUGGCUGGAUGAAAAAUUGAAACAUGUUAUUGAUAGUGAGCACAUAUUGUCUUUCUCUAGUUAAAUCACAUCUUUCAGCUGCAAACUCCGUACUUAAUUUUGAUAAAAAAUUAAUUUAUAAAUAUGAUGCAAUCAGAGAAAAGCUAGUAGGUAGCCAAUCUCAAUGGUCCUGCUUUUAAAUGCUCAGCACACCUUGCGAUGAUCUUAGACGGAACAUUUUGCAAUUCCAAACUUGAACUGUGAACACUCUGGAAUCCUGGACUGCAUCAAUCUAAGAAUUAUGUGUUCGGUGCUUUUAGUAAACAUCUCUGAAUCUGAUGCUUAUUGAGCUAUUUCUGAAAGAUCAGAAUCAUAGCAGGGUAGUAAGAAAGUAGUUACACGCUAAUGGUGCCAACUGUACUAUUUUCCCCUUUGAGUUCUCAAGAUUGAUUAUUGCUGCAAAUCACUAUCUGUUAUUUGAUUUUGGUAGGCCAAGGUUUCUUCUUCCACUCCAAUGCAAGCAGUAUUAUCAAUAACUCAUUAAAAAAACUAAACAUGUGGGUACACCUUUUUUCAGUUUUUUAUUUGUCAUUCCUUAUUAUGUCAAAUGUACCCACAAUUUUCUUGGUAUUCUGCAGCUCACUGCUGUGCACAAUUUUUCUUGAUGAAUUAAUUUUGCAAUUGUGAUCUUGAUUUUUUUGAGGAACAUACAGUAGGUAGAAAUGCCUACUGCAAUAUUGUCAUCUUGAUUUGGGUGCAUGAUCCACUAAUAAAACUUUAAAGGUAUGCAUUAAAUAGUUUGUAUGCAUUACCUUUUGCAAGGGUAGUUUCUGUGCAUCAUUUCUCGUGAAACAGUCAUAGUUUCCUACUUUGUCAUUGACGAGGUUCUACCUCGGCAAUGCCCAAGUUUAGGGCUUAUGUUUAUGGAGAGCAAGGGGUGUAACGGUGAUCUCGUCGACUAACAAGGACUAGGGGACACAAGUUUACCCAGGUUCAAGGCCCUCCAGGAGGUAAUACCACUACGUCCUGCUCUAGAUGUUUGUAUCGAUGAUGAUUACAGAGAGGCCGAUGAGGCUAUGGUGCGCAGAUUGGAUCUGGCGAGUGCGUAUGAGAUGGCUUCUCCUUCCCGGCUCCCCCUCCUAGUCCUUUAUAUGUAGGAGGCUAGGUCUCGGGCAUGGAGUCCAGGUUGGUUACAACAGAUCAACAGAAUUAGGAAUCUCUAGAUUAUAUUCCUUGUCUUGAGCCACAAUUCUAGGUACUCGGGCUUCAUGGACCCCAGUGGGCCUUCGGAUGGGCUUCAUGCUGGGCCGCAGAGGGUAUAUGAAGGAUGAGGACCCAGCAGGUCAUUCCCUCGUCAGUCAUAGUUUUCUACUUUUCUUAACAGCUACUCUUGCAAGACAAUGGCAUCCUGGACGGGGGAGGAAAAAUGUUUCAAGCUUUGGUGGUGGCUAAAAUUAUUGAUUAUAUAUUCAGAUGAGUUUUCAUGUUCUUUUCUGCUCUGCAGCCAUUUCUUUGUAUUUGAAUGCUUUUCAGUAAUGGAGGAAGAGGAAAAUACAUCCCUUUAGUUUGAUAAUAAUUCUAGUUAGCCAAUAUACUUUACUUAUGCAGAAGGAAUUCAUAGUAGAGUUGACAAGGAAAAUGACUUUUUUUCAAGAAAAAACAUAAAAGUGUGAGAUUGGUUCCUUGUUGAGAACAAGCAUGCAACGAUGCAGUUUGGUUUUUAGUGUUCGCAAUUCGGUAUCACUGAAGUGCUACAUGCCAGUGAAAUUAAAAUUUGGCCAUUGUUGACGGUAGUAAAGUGCUUGCUCUGUUUACAUGGCUGAACUUGUUAAUAAACUUUAAAGGUAACAAAAACUGUGCUGGCCAUGUUCCAAUAGGUCAUUCUGCUUAAUUCUUGAACUUACAUUAAAGGAACUAUCAGUUGUGCAUCUAGUGUGUGCUACUCCUUGACUGUUUUCUGGGAACAAAACGCACACAUCACUGGUGAACACAUUCUAUACUGCACAUAAAACUGUAUGAUGGAUUUCUAUACAGGUUUGGGAAUUUUUGGCAAGUCAUGUUGUUCUCCUUUGUGCCCUUGCCGCCUGAUCAUCAAUAGCUUUAUUAUCACUUAUCUGCUAGGGAAGUCAAAGGACUAUCUGUACUUAUUAUUGGUUUCCCUUAGCAUCCUUCGGUGUUUGGCUAGUUACUCAUCAUGGGAGGGUGUGAGACAUGUUUGUCAAACGUACUGUUUUUAUUUGUUUACAAACCAAAAGUGUACUUAUUAGAGAAAUUGCCUUUGCAAUAUGAUAGUAGCUAAUGGAACUGUCAGAAAACUAAUCAGUAUGUUGCAUCAGAGAGUUGCUGAGUUAGUGUCUGCUUACUGAGAUAUAUUAUUUUGCAGUUAACUGGUUGCAUUCAGUUAAUAAUCUGAUUAUACUUACGCAGUAAUUACUCCAGUAAUUAAUAUCUGUUCCUUCUUCAGUAGUUCUCCAGUGAAUUAAUUAUGGGUUUGUUGUUUUUCCCUUCAAGUAGCUUUCCUGGUGCAAAGAAAAUCGGAUAAUUGGAAAACCUUGAUGUUCUCUGCAGUUUGGCUGUUUGGGCCCCAAGUUAUUUUCUUCAUAUGAACUUUUGCCAAGAAAUUGAAUUACAUGCUUACUAUAACCUUGCUACACCAGAUUGCUUGUUGAUAUGUCCCCCUAUCAUCUCAUUGAUUAUUUGAUAUCAUUGAAAAGUGACCUGAGCUCUUUAUGGAUUUAGUGAGGCAAUGUUUAUAAUACAACAAUAUUUGGGUACUACAGGUGCUUACAUGUUAGGAGUUCUUUGAUCGGGCUUGGCUGCUAAGGUACUACCAUGCUUGCCCAGAUAGUAGUUUCUCUACUUUGUCAACAAAUGGAGAGUGCUGAAAUAUGAUCAAUUUCUGUUGUUAUAUGAGAAACCAAUGGAUGGACAAUAAAGCAUACUGAUGGUCUGUUUUGAAAAUUUCUUAACAGAUCAUGUGUUACUGAGAAACAGUUAAUUAGAUUCCACAAUCUUGGUUAUAUGGAUGUUUGUUAGUAACAUCAUAUUCAGGGCUAUGCAGCCACGCGCAGUGAGCUUGGCUAGUAAAAUUCAUGGUCUUUCAUAAUUUAUAUGCAUCUGCUCUUGUGGCAAAUUAAGCAUCAGCACAUAAUCUCAUUUUCUGUUUUGUUUUUCUUUCUAAAAGAAAUGAUUUCUGUGAACAACAUGUUCACCUCUGGGGACGUAGACGGUACAUGGCAUAAUAGCUUUGCACAUAUGAGCAGCAUGGUAUAGAUGUCAUUCAGAAAUGGUACCUGGAGUCCUGGAUUAUACCCACAAAUCGAAUUCGAUUCGUGUUUAUAUUUGGGAUGAGUUUUGAUGCUUAAAAUAUCAUUGGACAUGCCACUGAGGUUUAUAUACUACCUGUAUUUUCUGAAUUGGAUGGUUCUUGAAACUUCGGCCACCUCACUCUGAAUUGUUGCGAUCGGCCCGUUGUGAUUCAGUCAAAUUGCCAAGUCCUGCUAUAAGUUGUGAAGAACACGAGUCCUGGUCGGUCAAAGAUUCAUGGUGGUGAUCAAUGAUAUUAAAGUCUCUGAUUUCUGGGAUUCGAGAAUUUAUGCUCAAAAUAGGUUUGCACACUGUUUAGCAAAGUCGUCAAGGGAACUUGGUAGUACUGGCACUGGUGUUAUGUAUAAUCAAGCUACUGGCUUUGUUUUUGGAACUCGUGAGUUCUGAUUGUAAUCCUUAUAUUGAGUAAUGAAACUCUCGUUUCACCGAAAA
Brachypodium distachyon (stiff brome) is the source of this 4042-nucleotide long non-coding RNA. RefSeq lists it as uncharacterized. The record is from RefSeq and is a predicted model, not a curated record. NCBI's taxonomy places the organism in Eukaryota, Viridiplantae, Streptophyta, Magnoliopsida, Poales, Poaceae. The transcript is spliced from 2 exons.